RNAcentral lists this ribosomal RNA (1167 nucleotides) under Triticum aestivum (bread wheat). Its description in RNAcentral is "partial small subunit ribosomal RNA". The record is from RNAcentral. Lineage: Eukaryota; Viridiplantae; Streptophyta; Magnoliopsida; Poales; Poaceae.
AUGACUCGAUCAAGGCCGACGACCACCAUGGGGGGAUCUGUGCCAGACCACCACCACCAGCAGCACGACGGGGAGGUGGACGGCGGGCAGCUGCAGCACGGCGGCGAGCACGUGGAGACGGUGAUGCCCGGGUUCCGUUUCCACCCGACGGAGGAGGAGCUGAUCGAGUUCUACCUCCGUCGCAAGGUGGACGGCAAGCGCUUCAACAUCGACCUCAUCGCCUCCGUCGACCUCUACCGCUACGACCCAUGGGAUCUCCCCGCACUGGCGUCGAUCGGGGACAAGGAGUGGUUCUUCUACGUGCCUCGGGACCGCAAGUACCGGAACGGCGACCGGCCGAACAGGGUGACGCCGUCGGGGUACUGGAAGGCCACGGGGGCGGACAGGAUGGUGAAAGUCGUGGAGGGAAACCGCUCCAUCGGCCUCAAGAAGACGCUCGUCUUCUACGUCGGCAAGGCACCCAAGGGCCUCCGCAGCAGCUGGAUCAUGAACGAGUACCGCCUGCCACACGGUGAAACCGAACGGUACCAAAAGGAAAUUUCGCUCUGCCGGGUCUAUAAACGCCCAGGGAUUGACGACAACUUCCACCUCACCGGCACAACAACAAGGUCGUCUGCCUCCAGGGCGGCGGCAACCAGGCACAGUACAGCAGCGCACCGGACGUCAGUGGCAACUCACCGCCAGCAGCCGCCAGUGUUUGUCGAGGGCGGCGGUCACCACUCAUCAUCUGCUCUCAAGGCGUACAACGCGCACACGACCCAAGGAACAAAUGCAGCCAGUGCCAUGACAUCACUGUCGGCGGCAGGGGCGACGCCGCCGGCGAUGUUCCGGUCGGCGGCCUCUGUAGCCUCGCUGAGCUCCACGACCUCGACAGAGGAGGAUGGCACGUCGCUCUACCACCACCACCUCAAAGGACACAACAACCCAGCAGUAAUGCAACUGCAUUCUUCCACGCACGCCACGCUGCUCAACAGCAAUUCCUCGGCAAUGGCGACCAUCCCGAUCGACGAGCUGAGUCGGGCGAUUGGGUCCUACAGCCAAGCUUCAAACCCUAACCAGCCCACGGCGCCACUGCAAGGCCCAUUGCUUAACUUCCCUAGCUUGGAGAAGAUCUGGGACUGGAACCCUCUCCUGGAAUCUCCAAAGGUUUGCACAAGCUUCAAGUAA